Molecule: ribosomal RNA, 253 nt
Filed under: uncultured bacterium
Lineage: Bacteria
Description: partial 16S ribosomal RNA
Rfam family: Bacterial small subunit ribosomal RNA
Source: RNAcentral
UACGUAGGUGGCAAGCGUUGUCCGGAAUUACUGGGCGUAAAGAGUGUGUAGGCGGUGCUCUAAGUUCGGUGUGAAAUCUCCUGGCUCAACUGGGAGGGUGCGCCGGAAACUGGAGUGCUUGAGCGUGGGAGAGGAAAGCGGAAUUCCUGGUGUAGCGGUGAAAUGCGUAGAUAUCAGGAGGAACACCUGUGGUGUAGACGGCUUUCUGGACCAUAGCUGACGCUGAGACACGAAAGCGUGGGUAGCAAACAGG